CACGCUCACACUAGGUGAAGGUCUGACU
This 28-nucleotide non-coding RNA is filed under the name Mus musculus (house mouse). Lineage: Eukaryota; Metazoa; Chordata; Mammalia; Rodentia; Muridae. The record is from RNAcentral.